CAGGUGGAACCACACUCCAAAGGCCCUGGCAUCAACCAGGCUCUGUUCACCACUCUAGGUGGUUUACUUCUGUAGAAGGGCAGAAGCAGCCAGUUUUGAUGGGCUUGCUGUGGUCCCUUCGUUUUUUUAUCCUAUUAUCCAAUUUUCCGCUGUGCCAAUCUCCUUCUGUCAUGCUGACGGCUAGCCAAGCUCACCUCCUUCCUGAAGAGAGUGGCACAUAGCACUUUUGCAUCAGAAUAGGCAGAAGAGAAAGCAGAAGGGGUGAUCGGUGCUGAAGCCAAAGCCUUGUAAGCUGUUUGACCACUCUGGUGGUGAAUUGAAGGUCAUUCAUCUUUAAGGAACUUCACACAUUUCUUGGAAAAGAGUUUUGCAUUUCUGCCUUCAGUCACACUGAAAAUUCCCAGCAUGACCAACGGACAGAGGGACAUAACAGCCUGCAUUCAGACUCCUUUGGGUGUGCCACUCAUCCCAAGGAAGCUGUCACCGAGAUGUCUUGGAUGUGAUUACCUUUACCGGGAGAUUUUUUUUUUUUUUUUACUUUCCCCUGAAAACUCAACCCUGCAGAAUCACCAUUGCUGCUGCUGCUUCCUGUAGACUGCAGUCAAAGGGCAUAGCUGGGCUGGGAUAAGAGCAUUGGAAGCUGGAUGGCAGAGAGUCUUGCUCCAGCUCCUCUUUGGUAGCUAAAGGAAGCUGACAACUGUGAUAAGGAUGAACAGCUGCUGCCACCACUAUCAGAAAGCAAUUUAUGGGGAUUGUUUGUAUGUGUGCAUGUGCAGGAUUCAAAGGUUGGUGAGUCCCCUGCCCAAGUCUGGAUCCUGGCAGGUACCUGACAGUGCCAACCCUUGAAUCCAAGCCUAGUUCCACCCUCUUCCCCCCCCCCUUCUCAUACCACUCUGACGUGAUCUUUGAAAGAAGUCAAACAUGCGGCUCCAUUGAGGGCAUUUCUACUGAUGUGUCCUAAUGGUUUGGUUUUAAGGCUGAUGCUAGCUUGCCUUCUAAAUGUCUCAUUCAAAGUCAUGUCUGGGCAAGCAAAUGUCAUUGUUCCUUUGCAAAUUCCAAGCUGCAUUUUCAAAUGAGCCUGCAUGAGCACAUAUGGCACAUGUCCAAUGGUUGCUUAUUGAACAGAUUUCAAGCAAUUACAUAUGACGCAGAGAAUGUCCAGACUCAGAAGCCUAAUCCAGAUUUUAAAAAGAAGAAAAAUGCCACCACCCUUUUAGCUGACUAGCUUUCCAUGUCAACACAAAAACAAUGUUUGAAGAUGUCCCUCAGCCAUGUUUAACAAACUCAGGAAGUUUCUGUGCAGGUAAUCCACAGAUGCUUCAGAUCAGGUGUAGCCAUCAAGGUGUCCUGUAGAUGUUGUGGACUACAAUUCCCAUUAGCCUUAGUGCCAGCAUGGCCUCUAGUCAGGGUGGAUGGGAGUUGUAGUCAAAAACAUUUGGAGGGUAGCACAAUGGCUACUCUGCUUUAGAUCCAUAUGAUAAAAAGUUGCCAACUGACUAGAAGGUGGUGGGGGUGGCCUGCUUCUGUGUAUUUUGAAAAGCAUCUUGAUCUGCAGAAAUCAGCUGAUGAAAGUCAGGGCAUGGAGGUAAGCAGGAUUGCCAUUUACUCAAGUGGCUGUUAAAGGCAUAGGAAGAGGGACCAGUGAAAAAGUUAGCAACUAAUUGGAAUAGUUGCAGUUGAAUUCAGAAUGAAACUCUAAGCUGCCACAGUUCUCUUUAUCACUGAUAUGUUGCUCCAGAAAGGUUAUGACACCAGGUCAUCUUAUGUUUUGAGUAAUUGCAGAUCAUUUUGUAAGCAAGCAAAUGCCUCUUUCUUACUCAUUAUUAUGUAUUACCUUUCUUUUCACUCAAGCCUUUGGUAUGCUGUCUUAGUCCUUUUUGUUUGCAUUUUAAGUUUUGUAACUUGUAUGUUUUUAAUUUUUUUAUAUUGUAUGUUUUUAAAAUGUGUUGUACGUUGCCUAGAGACCUCUGGGUAUGAGGCAACUAACAAAUUAAAUAAUGGCCUUUCAGAGUUUUACA
Molecule: long non-coding RNA, 2018 nt
Organism: Rhineura floridana
Lineage: Eukaryota; Metazoa; Chordata; Lepidosauria; Squamata; Rhineuridae
Exons: 3
Source: RefSeq, a predicted model, not a curated record